RNAcentral lists this long non-coding RNA (665 nucleotides) under Physcomitrium patens. Its description in RNAcentral is "long non-coding RNA (PPAT_LNC010608)". The record is from RNAcentral. Lineage: Eukaryota; Viridiplantae; Streptophyta; Bryopsida; Funariales; Funariaceae.
UUCUACAACCAACUAAAAUCUAUUAACAUGGCUCUCACCAUAUUACUUUAUAAAUUAUAUAUUAAAUACAUAGUUACAUUAUUUUCAUAUAGUAGCCGAACCACAAUAUGAUACUAGGCUCCUAGCUGUGGAAGGUGAGGUUGUGUUUUACAAACAUCCAAAAAAUCCUAAUAGAUUUCACCCAUAUGAGAAGAAUAUAAUCGAAAUAUUGAUUCAAAAGUACUAAAAAAAACUCUUAUUAGUAGCCUUAUUCAUACAUAAACCUCAAUUACCUUAUUACUUUCAUAUUUAAGCAAUUUGGAUUUUUUUUGUAAGCCCCAACCUUAAUCAAUGAACUUUGAUAAGCUAUAACUUCUAAUUUGACCAUCUACUUGAUGUGAAAUUUUGCAUGAAAUUUUCAAUGUAAGUCUUCUAUAUGCUCAAGAAUUUUUAGUCCAAUCCAACUUACAAAUUGUGAGAAAACCUCCAAAAACUGCACUAAUGUCACUUGGCUACCAACUUAAAAGGUGAAGCAAAAAUUUUAGCAUUGAUUUCUCUUCCUCCAACUAUUAACUUUAAAUCAAAAUUUAUUUACAGCUUGAUCUUCAAGUCUUUCAACACCAUGCCAAAUUUUACCUUAAUCCAACUAGUAGAACUCCAGAUAUCAUAGAAAUCCUAUCGAAUCC